GACGAACGCUGGCGGCGUGCCUAAUACAUGCAAGUUGAGCGCUGAAGGUUGGUACUUGUACCAACUGGAUGAGCAGCGAACGGGUGAGUAACGCGUGGGGAAUCUGCCUUUGAGCGGGGGACAACAUUUGGAAACGAAUGCUAAUACCGCAUAAAAACUUUAAACACAAGUUUUAAGUUUGAAAGAUGCAAUUGCAUCACUCAAAGAUGAUCCCGCGUUGUAUUAGCUAGUUGGUGAGGUAAAGGCUCACCAAGGCGAUGAUACAUAGCCGACCUGAGAGGGUGAUCGGCCACAUUGGAACUGAGACACGGCCCAAACUCCUACGGGAGGCAGCAGUAGGGAAUCUUCGGCAAUGGACGAAAGUCUGACCGAGCAACGCCGCGUGAGUGAAGAAGGUUUUCGGAUCGUAAAACUCUGUUGGUAGAGAAGAACGUUGGUGUGAGUGGAAAGCUCAUCAAGUGACGGUAACUACCCAGAAAGGGACGGCUAACUACGU
This 496-nucleotide ribosomal RNA is filed under the name uncultured bacterium. Its description in RNAcentral is "partial 16S ribosomal RNA". It matches the Rfam family "Bacterial small subunit ribosomal RNA", at positions 28 to 506 of the family's 1533-position model. The record is from RNAcentral.